ACGCUGGCUACAGGCUUAACACAUGCAAGUCGAGGGGAAACGACGGGGAAGCUUGCUUCCUCGGGCGUCGACCGGCGCACGGGUGAGUAACGCGUAUCCAACCUGCCUCUGACUGAGGGAUAACCCGUCGAAAGUCGGCCUAAUACCUCAUGGCAUCGUCUGCGGGCAUCCAACGACGAUUAAAGAUUUCAUCGGUCAGGGAUGGGGAUGCGUCGGAUUAGCUGGUUGGCGGGGUAACGGCCCACCAAGGCGACGAUCAGUAGGGGUUCUGAGAGGAAGGUCCCCCACAUUGGAACUGAGACACGGUCCAAACUCCUACGGGAGGCGGCAGUGAGGAAUAUUGGUCAAUGGGCGAGAGCCUGAACCAGCCAAGUAGCGUGCAGGAAGACGGCCCUAUGGGUUGUAAACUGCUUUUAUGCGGGGAUAAAGUGCAGGACGUGUCCUUCAUUGCAGGUACCGCAUGAAUAAGGACCGGCUAAUUCCGUGCCAGCAGCCGCGGUAAUACGGAAGGUCCGGGCGUUAUCCGGAUUUAUUGGGUUUAAAGGGAGCGUAGGCCGUGGAUUAAGCGUGUUGUGAAAUGCAGGUGCUCAACGUCUGCACUGCAGCGCGAACUGGUCCACUUGAGUGUGCACAACGCAGGCGGAAUUCGUCGUGUAGCGGUGAAAUGCUUAGAUAUGACGAAGAACUCCGAUUGCGAAGGCAGCUUGCGGGAGCACAACUGACGCUGAAGCUCGAAAGUGCGGGUAUCGAACAGGAUUAGAUACCCUGGUAGUCUGCACGGUAAACGAUGGAUGCCCGUUGUCAGGCUGUUUCAGCCUGGUGACCAAGCGAAAGCAUUAAGCAUCCCACCUGGGGAGUACGCCGGCAACGGUGAAACUCAAGGAAUUGACGGGGGCCCGCACAAGCGGAG
RNAcentral lists this ribosomal RNA (910 nucleotides) under uncultured bacterium. Its description in RNAcentral is "bacterial SSU rRNA". It matches the Rfam family "Bacterial small subunit ribosomal RNA", at positions 33 to 934 of the family's 1533-position model. The record is from RNAcentral.